CAAGGAAUUUUCGGCAAUGGGCGCAAGCCUGACCGAGCAACAUCGCGUGGAGGACGACGGCCUUCGGGUUGUAAACUCCUUUUGGGAGGGAUGAAAAUGACAGUACCUCCCGAAUAAGCCCCGGCUAACUCCGUGCCAGCAGCCGCGGUAAGACGGAGGGGGCAAGCGUUGUCCGGACUCACUGGGCGUAAAGGGUGCGUAGGCGGUCUUGUGCGUCGGCGCUGAAAUCACACGGCUCAACCGUGUGGCGCGUGCCGAUACGACGAGACUUGAGGCUCUGAGAGGGUGGCGGAACUCCUGGUGUAGUGGUGAAAUGCGUAGAGAUCAGGAAGAACACCCGUGGCGCAAGCGGCCACCUGGCAGAGUUCUGACGCUGAGGCACGAAAGCGUGGGGAGCGAACCG
Molecule: ribosomal RNA, 403 nt
Filed under: uncultured bacterium
Lineage: Bacteria
Description: bacterial SSU rRNA
Rfam family: Bacterial small subunit ribosomal RNA
Source: RNAcentral